RNAcentral lists this ribosomal RNA (376 nucleotides) under uncultured bacterium. RNAcentral's name for it is "partial 16S ribosomal RNA". It matches the Rfam family "Bacterial small subunit ribosomal RNA", at positions 352 to 716 of the family's 1533-position model. The record is from RNAcentral.
AUGNAGGGAAUAUNUGGGAUCAAUGGNACGGNNCNUUUGAAACCAGUCCAAGUAGCGUGAAAGGAAGAAGGUCCUAUGGAUUGUAAACUUCUUUUAUAUGGGAAUAAAGUGAGGNAUGCAUACCUUUUUGUAUGUACCAUAUGAAUAAGGAUCGGCUAACUCCGUGCCAGCAGCCGCGGNAAUACGGAGGAUCCGAGCGUUAUCCGGAUUUAUUGGGUUUAAAGGGAGCGUAGGUGGAUUGAUAAGUCAGUUGUGAAAGUUUGCGGCUCAACCGUAAAAUUGCAAUUGAUACUGNCAGUCUUGANUACAGUAGANGGUGGGCGGAAUUCNUGGUGUAGCGGUGAAAUGCUUAGAUAUCACGAAGAACUCCGAUUGC